CUACCGCUGUUACUGCUUGGAGUGCCUCACCGAGCCAGGAUGAAGCCCCACCCGCCCUUCAGGAUGCCAGCCUUGGCAACAUCGUGAGACCCUGUUUCUACAAAAACUAAACAAGUGUAGUGGUGCACGCCUGUAUUCCCAGCUACUUGGGAGGCUGAGAUGGGAAGAUCACUUGAGCCUGGGAGGUUGAGGCUGCAUUGAGCUGAGAUCAAGCCACGGCACUCCAGCCUGGGAGACAGAGCGAAACCCCAUCUCAAAAAAACAAAGAAAGUGGAUGCGUGCUGCUCCUGCCAUUGGAUCAUCGCAGCAUUUUUCUUUUCUCUGAUAUGCGCCUUUUUCCUCAUCGUGGGGGCUCAUGUUUUCGUAAUUCCCUCUCGCUACUAGAUUGUGAGCUGUGUGAAGGAAGGUUCAUAGUUGAGUUGUAUGUACAGGCACACAAAAUUUGUCCUUGGAUAGACACAUAUCAAUCCACUUCCUUCUCCUCUCUGAAUUUCUUUAUUUAAAAAAAAAAGUAGAGAUGGAGUCUCACUGUC
RNAcentral lists this long non-coding RNA (533 nucleotides) under Homo sapiens (human). RNAcentral describes it as "non-protein coding lnc-LPCAT1-4:20". The record is from RNAcentral. Lineage: Eukaryota; Metazoa; Chordata; Mammalia; Primates; Hominidae.